Molecule: long non-coding RNA, 240 nt
Filed under: Elaeis guineensis (African oil palm)
Lineage: Eukaryota; Viridiplantae; Streptophyta; Magnoliopsida; Arecales; Arecaceae
Description: long non-coding RNA (EGUI_LNC005828)
Source: RNAcentral
CAUGAUAUCGAUAGAAGCAACGAUACUUUUUUUUUAUCUCUUUUUGUCGAUGGGGCUUUCAUGGGAUUAGGUUGGUGAAGAUACCUUUGGUCUUCAAUCUCUAUUAGUAUUUGAGUUCGAGGAGCAGAUAAUAAGAUGUAGGUGUCAAAUCAUCGAGGUGGACUUUUGGACCUUGAAUUUUUUCGAGAUCGAUCAGAAUCAUACCCUUGUUGAUUUCUACAGUCUUCUUCUCAAAGCUAC